Long non-coding RNA from Bubalus bubalis (water buffalo), 3591 nucleotides. RefSeq lists it as uncharacterized. The transcript is spliced from 2 exons. The record is from RefSeq and is a predicted model, not a curated record. Lineage: Eukaryota; Metazoa; Chordata; Mammalia; Artiodactyla; Bovidae.
UCAAGAGUCUUUUCCAACACCACUGUUCAAAAGUAUCAAUUCUUCGGCACUCAGCUUUCUUUAUAGUCCAACUCUCACAUCCAUACAUGACUACUGGAAAAACCAUAGCUUUGACUAGAUGGUUUAUUUAAUUCCACUUUACUUAAUUCUAACUAAAUUUAUCCAUUUAGAGGUUUUUGUUUUUUUUAAUCAAGUUUUCCCCUUUGGCUGUUAGAUACAAACCUAAUACCUCUGGAAAAUCAAAACAUUUUCAAAAUCCUCAUUUAUAGUGCUCAGAAUCAUGGAAGAACAGGUCUUUAAGGAAACCCAAGACCCAAGUCACAUGAGUCACUUGAGCUUGAGCUGGGAUUUAACUCAGGUUCUAUAUGAUUCAAGUUCUAUAUGGUUUUAAAGCUUGUCUCUUUCCAGGACUCCACCAGUACUCUUUUGAGAUGUGCUUAUAGUGUUUGUAGUAUUACUUAGAAAUGUUACAAGGAAAGUUUAUCUUUGAAGGUUGAAUCACUGUCUGACAUAGUGUUUUAAAAGCAUUUACUGUGUAUAAUAAGGAGUUCAACACUGAGUGAAGUAGUAAGUGCUAGAAGGACUUGUAUCAUUAAGACUCAACCCCUUAUUGGAUGCAUGUACAUACAGAGCCCCAGUUUUUCAUGACAAGCAGAUCUGAUGAAACUUACUGAAGUUACUUGCUAACAUUUAGUAUAACUGUGAAGUCAUCAUUAACAAAUUUAAAAGGAAAAGUUACUUAAUGUAAGUGACUUAGCUAAGCCAGUUGUUUCGUCUUGGAAUUGUGAGUAGGAAAAACCUUAUGAAUGAGAGUGAUAUAACUCAAAAGUGCUGUCAGUUAAUUCUUUCUAGUGUAGAGUUGGGGAUUAUUUAAAAUCUAGAGGAGAUUUUAUACUGUAGUUAUCAUUAUUCAUUUUCCUGCCUUUGAUUCUUAGAGAACUUUUCUUAUUUAUUAUUAUUUUUUUUGCAUGGGUCUGUGAACACCUGACUCUAUUGUCUAAAACAAUAUUCCACCAUGUAACCAUUCAGAUUAUUAUCACUGACCCUAAGCCUGCAAAAAAUCACACUGAGGGCAAGAAUUUUUUUUUUAAGUUGAAUACAGCACGUUAUCCAAAUUGUUCAUGAUCCAGAAAAGGUGACUCGCAACAUGUUUAAAGAUGUGUUCAUGUCUGUAUCUAGAAAUCUACUUGUAAUCAAAAAGUAACCACAAGUAUGAAUAAAUUAUCACAAUGAUAAAUAAAAUUUAUCAUUUUAAAAGAUUAUAUUAUGAAUACAAUUUCUAAGGGAAAAAAUGAAAUGCAUGGCCCUACAUGGACAUACAGCUUCCAUAACAUUGCUAUUCCUUAUAUGUUAAUAGUAAAGAGUCUUUUUAACAGCUUUAUUGAGAUAUCAUUCAUAUACCUUAAAAUUCACCCUUUUAAAGUAUACAGUGCAGUAGUUUUCAAGAAGUUCACAGUAUUGUGGAACUUUCAUCACAAGCUACUUGCAGAACAUUUUCAUUAACCCUGAAAGAAGGUACGCGAUAGCAGUCAUUCCUCAUUACCCCCACCCACUUCCAGCCCUGAGUAACUGGUCUACCUUCUAUUUCUAUAGGUUUGCCUAUUCUGGACAUUUCAUAUAAAUACAAUCAUAUAAUUGUGAUUUCUGACUAGUUUCUUUCACGUAACAUGUUUUGAAGGUUCAUGCACGUUGUACAGCAUGUAUCAGCAUUUCAUUCCCUUUAGUCACCAAACAUCCCAUUGUAUGGCUGUACCUCAAAUAACCAUUUGAAUUAAUAUUUCCGUUUUAUGACUGCUGUGAAUAGUGCUGCUGUAAGCAGUCAUACACAAGCUUUCGUGUGGACAAAUGUUUUCUCUUCUCUUGGGUAUACACCAAGGAGUAGAGUGAACUAUGUUUAAAGCAUUUUAAGGAGCUUCCAAAUUGUUUUCCACAACAGCUAUACCAUUUUACAAUUCUGCCAAUAAAAUAUAAGGGUUCCAACUUCUCUACAUCCUUGCCAACAGUUGUCAUUGCCUGUGUGUUGAUUAUAGCUGUCCUAAUGGCUGUGAAGUGCUUUUUCAUUGUUUUAAUUUGUGUUUCUCUGAUGGCUAAUGAUGUUGAGUAUCUUUUUCAUGUGUUUAUUAGUUAUUUAUGUAUAGACUCUUUAGAGAUAUGUUUGUUCAUGUCCUGUGCCUAUCUUUGAAUUGAUUUGUCUUUUUAUUUUUAUUUGUAAGGGCUCUUUAUAUAUUCUGGAUAUAGUACCUCAUCAGAUGUAUGACUUGCAAGUAUUUUCUGUCAUUCCAGUGCUGUCUUUUCACUUUCUUUCUUUCUUUCUUUUUCUAAUAUUUAUUUGCCUGUGUUGGGUCUUAGUUGUGGCACCCAGGACCUUUCAUUACAGCGAGUGGUCUCCCUAGUUGUUGGCAUGGUAUGCAGGCUUAGUUGCCCCACAGCAUGUGAGAUCUUAUUUCCCCAACCAGGGCUCAAAAACAGGUCCCCUGCAUUGCAAGGCGGAGUCUUAACCACUGAACUUCUAGUGGAAGUCCCUCUUUUAACUUUCCUAAUGGUAAAGUUUAUUGCAUUAAAGUUUAAAAUUUUCAUAUUGUCCCAUUUAUCUGUUCUUUCUCUUGGUCUUAAACAUUUACUACAACAUUUUCUUCUAAGAAUUUUAUAGUUUUAGCUCUUACCUUGAGAUCUUGAUUUAUUUUGAGUUAAUCUUUGUAUAGAUAUCCAGCCUCAUUCUUUGCAUGUGGAUAUCCAGUGUUGCAGCACUGUUUUGUUUUGUUUUGUUUAGCACUGUUUCUUGAAAAGACUUUUCUUCCUGCAAUGAAGACUUGAAACCCUUGUUGAAAAUCAGUUGACCGUAACUGGGUUUCAGUCUGGAUUCUCACUUAUAUUUCAUUGAUCUCUAUGUUCAUAUUAUGCAAUACUGGUCUUGAUUAUUAUAGCUUUGCAUUAUGUUUUGAAUUGAGAAAUGUGAGUCCUCCAACUUUGUUCUUUUUCAGGGUGGUUUUAGCUAUUGAGGAUUCCUUGAACUCUAUGCGAAUUUUAAGAUCAGCUUGUCAGUUUCUGCAAAGAAGCCUUGAUAAGGAUUGUUUUCUUCUUUAUAGAUCAAUUUGAAUAUGUCACUGUUUUAACAAUAUUAAGGCUUCCAAUUUAUGAACAGGUGUUUUUCCAUUUAUUUAGGUCUUCAGUUUUCUUCAAAGAUGUUUUUAGGGUACAAAUUUGUACAUUUGUUAAAUUGUACCAAAGUGUUUCAUUUUCUUGAUGCCAUUUUGAAUGAAAUUGUUUUCUCAAUUUCAUUUUUAGAAUAUUCAUUGCUGGUAUAUAUAAAUACAACUGCUUUUUGCAUAUUGAUCUUGUAUUACUUGAAUAAACAAGCAGUAAUACUUGAAGAUCAACAGAGAAAUUACUGUGAACCUGAGUGGUCAGAGAGCACCUCCCAAAGGAAGUGGAGCUGGUCCUGCCUUGUAGGAGUUCUGAGAUCUUAAGAAGGCAGUGAAGAGUUAGGAGCUCAUAUCAGGCAGGGGAAGUGGAUUGAGCCAACACAAGAAACUAUGAGCUAACUGAAAUAGAACAUUCCUUAAAGGCCUCUUGAUAGUUUAACAGUGGAAU